CCAAUCCCCACAGCCGCCUCCCUCCCACACCCUUCCUCCUCCUUCCUCGCUCGUCAGCCGCCACAGCUGCCGCACUCCUCCAUCUCUUUCCUCCCGCGUCCUCCUGCGUGGGACGCCGCUAGGCUCCUCCCUCUCUCGUCCCAGCCUGACGCAGGCGGAUCCAUGGGUAGAAGAGAGGAAUAAGGGAGGUAGAGGAACGACGGGGAAGGGGAUGGGCAAGAGCUUCAUGCCCCGAAUCCAGUUGGCCCGGGCCGUGCCUACAUGAGCAGCGCCGCGGCUCGAUGCUUCCCCACCCGACGAAGACGGCAAGCUAGGUGUUGACAAUGGCAGCCCCAGGCCAUCUGAUCUGUCACCGGUGCCGUUCUUUUGGUCGAGACCGCCGUCGUCCACGUGCUCCUCCUCACCCCCACGGCUGGACGCUGGCGAGGCCAGCCUCCCCUCCAAGCGCAGGUACUUCCCCGCUCCUUUCCGUGUUCUCUCUCUCUUCCCCUGAUAUAUCUCUCUGUUGUACACGGAAGCAAAUUUGUUCAAUUCUCAGUCUAGAUUUAAUGAAGAAAACUGCGGUUCAUAAAACGCCAAUUAUGGAUAUGGAUCCAUCUUGCUGCGCUGGAUGAAGGGCUGGAUAUGGAUCCAUCUUGCUGAUUUGGAAGAAAACUGCAGUUCAUACAAUGCUAAUUAUGGAUAUGGAUCCAUCUAAUACAGUUCUUCACAAAGCCCAGGAAUCGCAAGGGUUCAAUUGCUUUCGGGGUCGUACUUUUCUUGGUCCUUAUUGGUUGGCCUGUCUUCGGCAUGAUGGCGGACUCGUAUGGCUUUGCCCUGCUAUUCUGGUUAUCCUCUAUUGUGCAUUAAUAUGAUCAUCUGAUGUCUGUUUUUCAGUGUGCAUUAAGAAAUGGUAGAAACUUUUGGGUAUUGUAUCUGACUGGUACUGAAUUUCCUCACAACAGCUUCUAGCCCGCUGCUGCU
RNAcentral lists this ribosomal RNA (963 nucleotides) under Triticum aestivum (bread wheat). RNAcentral's name for it is "partial small subunit ribosomal RNA". The record is from RNAcentral. Lineage: Eukaryota; Viridiplantae; Streptophyta; Magnoliopsida; Poales; Poaceae.